This 456-nucleotide ribosomal RNA is filed under the name uncultured bacterium. Its description in RNAcentral is "SSU rRNA". It matches the Rfam family "Bacterial small subunit ribosomal RNA", at positions 26 to 518 of the family's 1533-position model. The record is from RNAcentral.
AGGAUAAACGCUGGCGGCGUGCCUAACACAUGCAAGUCGAACGCCCUACGCAAGUAGGGAGUGGCGGACGGGUGAGGAACACGUGGGUAAUCUGCCCUUCGGUGAGGAAUACCGGCGAGAAAUCGCCGACAAUACCGCAUGCGUUUCACGGAAGUGAAAGAAAGUCGUAAGACGCCGAGGGAUGAGCCUGCGCCCGAUUAGUUUGUUGGUGGGGUAAAAGCCUACCAAGACUACAAUCGGUAGCUGGUCUGAGAGGACGAUCAGCCACACUGGGAUUGAGAACGGCCCAGACUCCUACGGGGGGCAGCAGUGAGGAUUUUCGUCAAUGGGGGCAACCCUGAACGAGCAACGCCGCGUGCAGGAAGAAGGUUUUCGGAUCGUAAACUGCUUUUCUGUGGGAAGAGAACGGACGGUACCACAGGAAGAAGCCCCGGCUAACUACGCGCCAGCAGCCGC